RNAcentral lists this transfer RNA (63 nucleotides) under Opatrum subaratum. RNAcentral's name for it is "tRNA-Thr". Lineage: Eukaryota; Metazoa; Arthropoda; Insecta; Coleoptera; Tenebrionidae. The record is from RNAcentral.
UGUUUUUAAAGCAGGACUUAUUUUUAGUUUACAAGACUAAUAUUUUAUUUAAAUUAUAAAAAC